Molecule: ribosomal RNA, 156 nt
Filed under: uncultured soil bacterium
Lineage: Bacteria
Description: partial 16S ribosomal RNA
Rfam family: Bacterial small subunit ribosomal RNA
Source: RNAcentral
AGAGUGAACGCUGGCGGUAGGCCUAACACAUGCAAGUCGAACGGCAGCACAGUGGUAGCAAUACCAUGGGUGGCGAGUGGCGGACGGGUGGGGAAUACAUCGGAAUCUACCUUUUCGUGGGGGAUAACGGUAGGGAAACUUACGCUAAUACCGCAU